Molecule: unclassified non-coding RNA, 219 nt
Filed under: rhizosphere metagenome
Description: partial ribosomal RNA internal transcribed spacer region
Source: RNAcentral
GUAGGUGAACCUGCGGAAGGAUCAUUAUUGAAAUAAACCUGAUGGGUUGUUGCUGGUUCUCUAGGGAGCAUGUGCACGCCUUGUCAUCUUUAUAUCUCCACCUGUGCACUUUUUGUAGGCCUUUCAGGUCUAUGUUGCUUCAUUUACCCCAAUGUAUGUCAAUAGGAUGUUGUGCCUAUUUAAUAUAUACAACUUUCAGCAACGGAUCUCUUGGCUCUC